GACGAACGCUGGCGGCGUGCUUAACACAUGCAAGUCGAACGGAAAGGCCCUGCUUUUGUGGGGUGCUCGAGUGGCGAACGGGUGAGUAACACGUGAGUAACCUGCCCUUGACUUUGGGAUAACUUCAGGAAACUGGGGCUAAUACCGGAUAGGAGCUCCUGCUGCAUGGUGGGGGUUGGAAAGUUUCGGCGGUUGGGGAUGGACUCGCGGCUUAUCAGCUUGUUGGUGGGGUAGUGGCUUACCCAGGCUUUGACGGGUAGCCGGCCUGAGAGGGUGGCCGGCCACAUUGCGACUGCGAUACGGCCCAGACGCCUACGGGGGACAGCAGUGGGGAAUAUUGCACAAUGGGCGGAAGCCUGAUGCAGCAACGCCGCGUGCGGGAUGACGGCCUUCGGGUUGUAAACCGCUUUCGCCUGUGACGAAGCGUGAGUGACGGUAAUGGGUAAAGAAGCACCGGCUAACUACGUG
This 468-nucleotide ribosomal RNA is filed under the name uncultured bacterium. Its description in RNAcentral is "partial 16S ribosomal RNA". It matches the Rfam family "Bacterial small subunit ribosomal RNA", at positions 28 to 507 of the family's 1533-position model. The record is from RNAcentral.